AAACCAACAAGCUUGCUUGUUGGGGUUGUAGGACACUCUAUACGGAGUUACAAAAGAACAUGUUAGACGAAUCAUCUGGAAAGAUGAAUCAAAGAAGGUAAUAAUCCUGUAGUCGAAAACAUAUUCUCUCUUGAGUGGAUCCUGAGUACGACGGAGCACGUGAAAUUCCGUCGGAAUCUGGGAGGACCAUCUCCUAAGGCUAAAUACUCUCUAGUGACCGAUAGUGAACCAGUACCGUGAGGGAAAGGUGAAAAGUACCCCGGAAGGGGAGUGAAAGAGAACUUGAAACCGUGUGCUUACAAGUAGUCAGAGCCCGUUAAUGGGUGAUGGCGUGCCUUUUGUAGAAUGAACCGGCGAGUUACGAUCUGAUGCAAGGUUAAGCAGCAAAUGUGGAGCCGCAGCGAAAGCGAGUCUGAAUAGGGCGUUGAGUAUUUGGUCGUAGACCCGAAACCAGGUGAUCUACCCUUGGUCAGGUUGAAGUUCAGGUAACACUGAAUGGAGGACCGAACCGACUUACGUUGAAAAGUGAGCGGAUGAACUGAGGGUAGCGGAGAAAUUCCAAUCGAACUUGGAGAUAGCUGGUUCUCUCCGAAAUAGCUUUAGGGCUAGCCUCAAGUGAUGAUUAUUGGAGGUAGAGCACUGUUUGGACGAGGGGCCCCUCUCGGGUUACCGAAUUCAGACAAACUCCGAAUGCCAAUUAAUUUAACUUGGGAGUCAGAACAUGGGUGAUAAGGUCCGUGUUCGAAAGGGAAACAGCCCAGACCACCAGCUAAGGUCCCAAAAUAUAUGUUAAGUGGAAAAGGAUGUGGCGUUGCCCAGACAACUAGGAUGUUGGCUUAGAAGCAGCCAUCAUUUAAAGAGUGCGUAAUAGCUCACUAGUCGAGUGACACUGCGCCGAAAAUGUACCGGGGCUAAACAUAUUACCGAAGCUGUGGAUUGUCCUUUGGACAAUGGUAGGAGAGCGUUCUAAGGGCGUCGAAGCAUGAUCGCAAGGACAUGUGGAGCGCUUAGAAGUGAGAAUGCCGGUGUGAGUAGCGAAAGACGGGUGAGAAUCCCGUCCACCGAUUGACUAAGGUUUCCAGAGGAAGGCUCGUCCGCUCUGGGUUAGUCGGGUCCUAAGCUGAGGCCGACAGGCGUAGGCGAUGGAUAACAGGUUGAUAUUCCUGUACCACCUAGUAUCGUUUUAAUCGAUGGGGGGACGCAGUAGGAUAGGCGAAGCGUGCUGUUGGAGUGCACGUCCAAGCAGUAAGGCUGAGUGUUAGGCAAAUCCGGCACUCAUAAGGCUGAGCUGUGAUGGGGAGAGGAAAUUGUUUCCUCGAGUCGUUGAUUUCACACUGCCGAGAAAAGCCUCUAGAUAGAUAACAGGUGCCCGUACCGCAAACCGACACAGGUAGUCAAGAUGAGAAUUCUAAGGUGAGCGAGCGAACUCUCGUUAAGGAACUCGGCAAAAUGACCCCGUAACUUCGGGAGAAGGGGUGCUCUUUAGGGUUCACGCCCAGAAGAGCCGCAGUGAAUAGGCCCAAGCGACUGUUUAUCAAAAACACAGGUCUCUGCUAAACCGUAAGGUGAUGUAUAGGGGCUGACGCCUGCCCGGUGCUGGAAGGUUAAGAGGAGUGGUUAGCUUCUGCGAAGCUACGAAUCGAAGCCCCAGUAAACGGCGGCCGUAACUAUAACGGUCCUAAGGUAGCGAAAUUCCUUGUCGGGUAAGUUCCGACCCGCACGAAAGGCGUAACGAUUUGGGCACUGUCUCAACGAGAGACUCGGUGAAAUCAUAGUACCUGUGAAGAUGCAGGUUACCCGCGACAGGACGGAAAGACCCCGUGGAGCUUUACUGUAGCCUGAUAUUGAAAUUCGGCACAGCUUGUACAGGAUAGGUAGGAGCCUUUGAAACGUGAGCGCUAGCUUACGUGGAGGCGUUGGUGGGAUACUACCCUAGCUGUGUUGGCUUUCUAACCCGCACCACUUAUCGUGGUGGGAGACAGUGUCAGGCGGGCAGUUUGACUGGGGCGGUCGCCUCCUAAAAGGUAACGGAGGCGCUCAAAGGUUCCCUCAGAAUGGUUGGAAAUCAUUCAUAGAGUGUAAAGGCAUAAGGGAGCUUGACUGCGAGACCUACAAGUCGAGCAGGGUCGAAAGACGGACUUAGUGAUCCGGUGGUUCCGCAUGGAAGGGCCAUCGCUCAACGGAUAAAAGCUACCCCGGGGAUAACAGGCUUAUCUCCCCCAAGAGUUCACAUCGACGGGGAGGUUUGGCACCUCGAUGUCGGCUCAUCGCAUCCUGGGGCUGUAGUCGGUCCCAAGGGUUGGGCUGUUCGCCCAUUAAAGCGGUACGCGAGCUGGGUUCAGAACGUCGUGAGACAGUUCGGUCCCUAUCCGUCGUGGGCGUAGGAAAUUUGAGAGGAGCUGUCCUUAGUACGAGAGGACCGGGAUGGACAUACCUCUGGUGUACCAGUUGUCGUGCCAACGGCAUAGCUGGGUAGCUAUGUAUGGACGGGAUAAGUGCUGAAAGCAUCUAAGCAUGAAGCCCCCCUCAAGAUGAGAUUUCCCAACUUCGGUUAUAAGAUCCCUCGAAGAUGACGAGGUUAAUAGGUUCGAGGUGGAAGCGUGGUGACACGUGGAGCUGACGAAUACUAAUCGAUCGAAGACUUAAUCAAUUUUUAAA
This 2658-nucleotide ribosomal RNA is filed under the name Listeria monocytogenes. RNAcentral describes it as "partial 23S ribosomal RNA". It matches the Rfam family "Bacterial large subunit ribosomal RNA". Lineage: Bacteria; Bacillati; Bacillota; Bacilli; Caryophanales; Listeriaceae. The record is from RNAcentral.